AAAUUGAAGAGUUUGAUCAUGGCUCAGAUUGAACGCUGGCGGCAGGCCUAACACAUGCAAGUCGAGCGGUAGCACAGAGAGCUUGCUCUCGGGUGACGAGCGGCGGACGGGUGAGUAAUGUCUGGGAAACUGCCUGAUGGAGGGGGAUAACUACUGGAAACGGUAGCUAAUACCGCAUAAUGUCGCAAGACCAAAGUGGGGGACCUUCGGGCCUCAUGCCAUCAGAUGUGCCCAGAUGGGAUUAGCUAGUAGGUGGGGUAACGGCUCACCUAGGCGACGAUCCCUAGCUGGUCUGAGAGGAUGACCAGCCACACUGGAACUGAGACACGGUCCAGACUCCUACGGGAGGCAGCAGUGGGGAAUAUUGCACAAUGGGCGCAAGCCUGAUGCAGCCAUGCCGCGUGUGUGAAGAAGGCCUUCGGGUUGUAAAGCACUUUCAGCGGGGAGGAAGGCGUUAAGGUUAAUAACCUUGGCGAUUGACGUUACCCGCAGAAGAAGCACCGGCUAACUCCGUGCCAGCAGCCGCGGUAAUACGGAGGGUGCAAGCGUUAAUCGGAAUUACUGGGCGUAAAGCGCACGCAGGCGGUCUGUCAAGUCGGAUGUGAAAUCCCCGGGCUCAACCUGGGAACUGCAUUCGAAACUGGCAGGCUAGAGUCUUGUAGAGGGGGUAGAAUUCCAGGUGUAGCGGUGAAAUGCGUAGAGAUCUGGAGGAAUACCGGUGGCGAAGGCGGCCCCCUGGACAAAGACUGACGCUCAGGUGCGAAAGCGUGGGGAGCAAACAGGAUUAGAUACCCUGGUAGUCCACGCCGUAAACGAUGUCGAUUUGGAGGUUGUGCCCUUGAGGCGUGGCUUCCGGAGCUAACGCGUUAAAUCGACCGCCUGGGGAGUACGGCCGCAAGGUUAAAACUCAAAUGAAUUGACGGGGGCCCGCACAAGCGGUGGAGCAUGUGGUUUAAUUCGAUGCAACGCGAAGAACCUUACCUGGUCUUGACAUCCACAGAACUUUCCAGAGAUGGAUUGGUGCCUUCGGGAACUGUGAGACAGGUGCUGCAUGGCUGUCGUCAGCUCGUGUUGUGAAAUGUUGGGUUAAGUCCCGCAACGAGCGCAACCCUUAUCCUUUGUUGCCAGCGGUUAGGCCGGGAACUCAAAGGAGACUGCCAGUGAUAAACUGGAGGAAGGUGGGGAUGACGUCAAGUCAUCAUGGCCCUUACGACCAGGGCUACACACGUGCUACAAUGGCAUAUACAAAGAGAAGCGACCUCGCGAGAGCAAGCGGACCUCAUAAAGUAUGUCGUAGUCCGGAUUGGAGUCUGCAACUCGACUCCAUGAAGUCGGAAUCGCUAGUAAUCGUAGAUCAGAAUGCUACGGUGAAUACGUUCCCGGGCCUUGUACACACCGCCCGUCACACCAUGGGAGUGGGUUGCAAAAGAAGUAGGUAGCUUAACCUUCGGGAGGGCGCUUACCACUUUGUGAUUCAUGACUGGGGUGAAGUCGUAACAAGGUAACCGUAGGGGAACCUGCGGUUGGAUCACCUCCUUACCUUAAAGAA
RNAcentral lists this ribosomal RNA (1549 nucleotides) under Klebsiella pneumoniae. RNAcentral describes it as "bacterial SSU rRNA". It matches the Rfam family "Bacterial small subunit ribosomal RNA". The record is from RNAcentral. Lineage: Bacteria; Pseudomonadati; Pseudomonadota; Gammaproteobacteria; Enterobacterales; Enterobacteriaceae.